GACGAACGCUGGCGGCGUGCUUAACACAUGCAAGUCGAACGGAAAGGCCCUGCUUUUGUGGGGUGCUCGAGUGGCGAACGGGUGAGUAACACGUGAGUAACCUGCCCUUGACUUUGGGAUAACUUCAGGAAACUUGGGCUAAUACCGGAUAGGAGCUCCUGCUGCAUGGUGGGGGUUGGAAAGUUUCGGCGGUUGGGGAUGGACUCGCGGCUUAUCAGCUUGUUGGUGGGGUAGUGGCUUACCAAGGCUUUGACGGGUAGCCGGCCUGAGAGGGUUACCGGCCACAUUGGGACUGAGAUACGGCCCAGACUCCUACGGGAGGCAGCAGUGGGGAAUAUUGCACAAUGGGCGGAAGCCUGAUGCAGCAACGCCGCGUGCGGGAUGACGGCCUUCGGGUUGUAAACCGCUUUCGCAUGUGACGAAGCGUGAGUGACGGUAAUGGGUAAAGAAGCACCGGCUAACUACGUG
This 468-nucleotide ribosomal RNA is filed under the name uncultured bacterium. RNAcentral's name for it is "partial 16S ribosomal RNA". It matches the Rfam family "Bacterial small subunit ribosomal RNA", at positions 28 to 507 of the family's 1533-position model. The record is from RNAcentral.